This 834-nucleotide ribosomal RNA is filed under the name uncultured marine bacterium. RNAcentral's name for it is "bacterial SSU rRNA". It matches the Rfam family "Bacterial small subunit ribosomal RNA", at positions 20 to 905 of the family's 1533-position model. The record is from RNAcentral.
UGGCUCAGGACGAACGCUGGCGGCAGGCUUAACACAUGCAAGUCGAACGCUCUCUUCGGAGAGAGUGGCAGACGGGUGAGUAACGCGUGGGAAUCUACCCAGUGCUACGGAACAACACAGAGAAAUUUGUGCUAAUACCGUAUACGCCCUACGGGGGAAAGAUUUAUCGGCAUUGGAUGAGCCCGCGUUUGAUUAGCUAGUUGGUGAGGUAAUGGCUCACCAAGGCGACGAUCAAUAGCUGGUCUGAGAGGACGAUCAGCCACACUGGGACUGAGACACGGCCCAGACUCCUACGGGAGGCAGCAGUGGGGAAUAUUGGACAAUGGGCGAAAGCCUGAUCCAGCCAUGCCGCGUGUGUGAUGAAGGCCCUAGGGUUGUAAAGCACUUUCAACGGUGAAGAUAAUGACGGUAACCGUAGAAGAAGCUCCGGCUAACUUCGUGCCAGCAGCCGCGGUAAUACGAAGGGAGCUAGCGUUGUUCGGAAUUACUGGGCGUAAAGCGCGCGUAGGCGGAUUGAUCAGUCAGGGGUGAAAUCCCGGGGCUUAACCCCGGAACUGCCUUUGAUACUGUCAAUCUAGAGUUCGAGAGAGGUGAGUGGAAUUCCGAGUGUAGAGGUGAAAUUCGUAGAUAUUCGGAGGAACACCAGUGGCGAAGGCGGCUCACUGGCUCGAUACUGACGCUGAGGCGCGAAAGUGUGGGGAGCAAACAGGAUUAGAUACCCUGGUAGUCCACACCGUAAACGAUGGAUACUAGCUGUCGGGUCUUCGGACUCGGCGGCCAAGCGAAAGUGAUAAGUAUCCCACCUGAGAGUACGUUCGCAAGAAGAAACUCAAA